AUCUUGAAUAUAAUACGCGUAUUUCGCCCAACCAUUGCUAGGUGUAUUAGUAGUUCCACGUCUUCAGCUAGAUGACCGUGAGCGGCUUUUGUCAUCGAAAUUCGUAUUGGCUAAAGACGACGAGCAGCUGAUGAAAUAUAGUGACAAAGAUCUCAUGAAUUUCAUUUAAAAACUGUGUGUCGAGGGAGGGCACUUCUCAGGCUUGUGUAAGUGGGUGACAUGGACGCUAAAUUAUGCAACGUGUUAUAGUGUCUGCGUUUGUGCAAUUGAUGACGAUACUGGAUGGGUCUACAAGAUUGAUCUCGGCACAUAAGCUCAACUAAUAUUAAACAAUGUUCGUUACACAAGCCUCGAUGGCCAUACUUUGUGGAAUUGCAACGAGCCCUUGGCGACGCGUCGUUCCAGGUGCCGUUCAUAGCGUCGACUUUUCAGAAAUCGACAAAUACGGAGUUCACAUUUACCAGAUUACUCUCAAAAAAGAACAGGAGAAACACGAAGCUUGCACAAGGAAGGACGUGGCUAAAUUUCUUAAUUUGUCCAAAUCAGAAAGUGUAAUGGUGAAAGAGGUUGAGUUGUCAAUGUCAGUCCGUGAUAAAAGGGCAUAAUCACUUCUCGUCUACACAUCCGCAGUGCGCCUCUAUGCGUUCUUCUGAUCGUUAUCAGAGAGACACGCCUAAUGUAACGUCCGUGAACAUGGUCCGCAGGUUUCCUAUUCACCUGCGUCGCUUCAAAUGUAGACGGCCUGAUACUUCAACAUUUUGCCUUUAAUAUUCACAAACUAUCUGAAAUAAGCUGCAAGAUUUCAAUGGCAAGCGUACACUUCCCUGGUCUACUAUGCACAUUGCAUAUUGCAAAUGUUGAGGUGUCAUUUCAUUUGGGGCUUCGCUGCACAAAAAUGGACGCGUUACAGGUUGGAGAACACACAUUCUGAUAGAAAAGGC
RNA transcript from Varroa destructor (honeybee mite), 941 nucleotides. RefSeq lists it as uncharacterized. The record is from RefSeq and is a predicted model, not a curated record. Lineage: Eukaryota; Metazoa; Arthropoda; Arachnida; Mesostigmata; Varroidae.